Molecule: long non-coding RNA, 5120 nt
Filed under: Macaca mulatta (Rhesus monkey)
Lineage: Eukaryota; Metazoa; Chordata; Mammalia; Primates; Cercopithecidae
Description: lncRNA (ENSMMUG00000060722.1)
Source: RNAcentral
AUGAUUACUCAUGUAUCAAACAUUCCUACCCUGUGCUUUUCUCCAGGUCCUGAGUGCUUGCUUUUCAUCAGUAGUAACAUUUGUUUUAUACACAUGCCCAGGAGCGACCCUAGGUGCACAGUGGAAACUCAGGGCAUGAGGAGCUGUUUGCAAUGCCUUCACCCUGUGAAAGGGAUUAGUGUAUGCCAACACAUAAUAUUUCCAACAGAGGUCAAACAUAAGAUCUGAAAUGGCUGCCUAAGGGCUGGGCAUACAGUAUGUGCCAUGACUUGGCUUUUCUUGGGUCAUUUAGGAGAAAAGAGGUAAGUUGUGAGGAAGAAUGCAAUUAACUAACUUUUGUGAAGGGCCCAGAUCAUUACUAGGUGCUUUACAUGUAUUAUCUCAUUUCCAUAUCCAGGUAAAUUCAUGUAGCAGCUAAUAGGAGCCAGAUCAAAAGUUGAAUGCUGGUCUGCCUGACUUACUUGCCUGAUUAGGAGGGUUAAUCCUGAAGUCGUUUUGGUCAGUAGCAUCCAGGAGAUGGAGAAAGGGCUUUGACUAUUUAGAGUUACAUUCUACUCUGCAGUUACUAUUUGAUUUGCAAAUGAGCAAAUGGAAACCUCCCAAGAAACAAAAGGAGAGUUUCAUGGAGGGAGGGAAAUGAGAAAGGAAGGAAGAAAAAAAGAAAGAGAAAGGAACAAGUAAAGAAAAGAGGAAAUGAAAAGGAGGAAAAGGGAAGGGGCAAUGUAAAGAAUCCCAAUAAAUUAUUUAAAAUGUACUUUUUGGUUAAAGAUAGGUUAAAUAAGACCUACUGUUUUUGAUUUAAAUAUAUUAAUUUCAAUUGAAGUACUCAUGCUGACAUAAUAAAAGUCUUUUAAGGUAAUGAGUCAUUAUUUUAAAGGUCACCAAUUAAAUUCCUUCCCCUGAAUAAUUUUCCACCUGCCAUUCUGCAGGUGGACAGCCCCACAUGCACAGCAUCAUCUACUUGCUCUGUAGUCUCUGAUGGUGCCAGGCAUUUAGGUGGAAACAAACAUACUUGUAAGACCCGAGAUCUAUGGCUAAACCUUGUCACUCAGAGAUAUUUAGAUAUGUUUGGCAUUCAAAGUAAGUUUUCUUUUUCUCAGUUUUCAUCUGAUUCUAGGAUAAGUCCCAGAAAAAUUGGCAGCAGAUGAUGAAAAUAAACUGUUUUCUAUCCUAUGUUGGGGGUCUGAAUUUUGCAUUUAAUUCACAUAAUAUGCUUUUAGGGCAAUUUUUGUAUUUUACUAUUUACUGUACUUCAUUCUCCUAUACUGAUUCUGCUACACUGAUAAGCAGGACCCAGAGCUGAACCUGGCAGGGCAGUGAUCCCGGAAGUCUUGAAGAGUGGGAGGCCAAGCCAGAACAUGUCUACCGGUUUCAGUUAGUAGAACCCAGCUGGUGCACAUGGAGAGAAAAGAGCUCUGCAAAGAGAACUUCAACCAAAAAGCCAGCUUAGUUCUGAAGUUAAAAGUAGUUCUGGGUUUUGUGGGUCCUGAAGCUUAUACAAUAUGGGAGGGAUAGUCCUGUUUGAGGAAAAAUAAAAGCAAACACACAUAAAAAUUGUAAUUUUUUCAACAUAACUAUAAAAAAAAAACUUUGUGGGCAAAUUGCUAGGUCCCACUCAGAGUCAUGGAAGGGGUCCGUGCAAAGGAGGGGCCCUGAAGCUUAAGCUUCUCCUAAAGUUGCCUCUGAGUCUUUAGAGAUUAGGCAUCAGAUGCAUGUAGCUAUAAUAGCCAAAGGACCUGAGACCAGAAGUCAGAAGAAGAAGGUUCAAGCAGAGACUGGAAGAAGGUUCAAGCAGAUGGUGGAAGGAUAAGAUGCUCAGUUAGAGAAGACAAUAGCAAUAUCUGUAGUUUACCCCCAGUCUUCUGUGGUAGGGGAGGUCGCUAUUUAGGACAUCAUUCAGUGUGAGACAACAAGAAUGAUCAUGACCCUGAAAAUAAAUGUUUCAACCGAGUACAUAUGAACAUAAAAAUAGGAAGAGGAGAUGCUUGGGACUACUAGAGGGGGUAGGCAGGGCAGGGGAUGUCACUGAAAAACUACUUUGAAAUUAUGAAAAAUAAAAAUAAAAAAUAAAAAACAAACAAAAACCUUAGCAUUAACCAACAAUGGAAAAUCAUGGUUUGAAUGAGUACUUUAUGACUGACCUUUAUCACUCAAAGCAUAUCUGAAUUCUGAGGUUUGGAUAAAACAAGGAAAUAAAGUUUUCAUUAUUUCCCCAUAGGAGCUUGAAAUGUGUAGCAACACUGAGUGGAGAAGAAAAAAUGUACUGGUAGUUUUCUAACAGCUUGUACCUUACCUAAUAUUAACCCGCUGGGCAUAUUGGAACUGUAAGGAAUCUGGACGCAAUAGUAAGCUCUGGUUGAAAAAAAUGUACCGAUCAAUAGCUUGCAUUACCGUAAAAAUCCUUCUGGGCUUAAAAUUUUAUUUUCUUGUAUUAUGAUAGAAACCCUGAAGAGCAAGAAUGAGGGCUAAUCAAAGAAAUAGUAGAAAACAGCAUAUAUGUCCCAAUACAUGAUGGUCUCUAUCAAGAGCAUUAUGGUUUCCACACGGAAAGCUAUAUAGUAGUGGAAUUUUUUUUUUUUUUGACUUAAGUCUCCAUGGUGCUAUUUCAGGGUGCUUUUAAUAAAGAUCUUUCUAGCAACCAAGUAAACUCAACAACAUAUCUUAAAAUAGAAAAAUAAUUAUUCCCAUAGUUGUAUAUAUGUACACACACAUACCUAUGUGUAUAGUACUAUUUGUUUCUCUUUUAAUGUUCUAUUUGAACACUUAGGAAUUAAUCAUUUGAUUUUUUCUUGGAAUAUAACUUUUACAUGUAUUCUUUAUGUCAUUGACUGGUGUUGUAUAUAUAUCUAUGAAAAUUAUUUUCAUCAUAAAGUGGAUAUAUCACUGGAUAAACAUAAAAUAUAAGGAAACUAAUUACAUAGAGCCACACUGUAGCUCUUUGGUUUUAGAAUAGUUUAGUAUGUGAAAUAUGUAAACAUAUGAUUAAUAUUAUGCAUUUGCAGCCUGUUUCAUUGAAGAAUGCAAUUUAUUUGCUUCUUUUUAUUUCUUUUCUGCAGAAGGAAGUUGAUAGGACUUGACUGGAGUCUUAGAGAAUAGUAAAAUUAAGGAAGUGAAAUCAGGGUAUAGGGAAGAGAAUGGUGCAUGAGGCUUAGCUCAUAAAGGGGAGGAAAAAGUAGCUGUAGAAUGCAUGUCCAGAAUUAGAUGUGCACAAGGUACUCACAGAUUCAAGGGUCUCUCUGCAUGUGAGGAGGCAGAUCUCAUUAGGAGAAUCUCCUCCUCCCACUGAUAUUGGCUGAGAGAUCAUGCCUCCCAUUUUUCUUCUUUAGUCAACCUGUGGCAAUGAUUGCAGUUAAAGCAAUAAUUCAGAAAUGUAGACCUAAAACUUAAACCAUUCAUUUCCCUUUUAAACCCCUUUGUUGACUCCUUUUGAUCUAUGGUACAUUUUGAACCUCUUAGAAUGGCCUUACCUGGCACUUCUAUUCAGUCUCCAGACUCAGGUCCCGCUAGUAUGUCUCAUGCCUUAUAUUCUGGCAUAAAAAUCUGAUUGUUGUUUCCUGACCAUCCUGCAUACCUGUCCUGAGGAUCUUCUCUCUGACUAGAUGCUUUCUUCACCUUCUCUUGGCCAAAUUUAACUCAUAAGAUUAAACUAGAACAUCACCUAUUCCAGGGAAUCCUCUCCUGAAAAUCUCCAGGCCCAACAGCAUACGUAAAUCACUAUAUUCCCAGAACACUUGAAAGGAUGUAAAAAUUAGGUUACGUUGUAUAUUUAUCAUUAUUCUCUUGAAGACAGAGACCAUAUUAAACUUCCCUAUAAGAUUCUGGCCAGUUCUAUUGUUUGUGUACUAAUAGUUUUAACUGGAAAGGGUGGUAAAUAAAUUGUGGAGUGAGUUGAAGCUCCUUCAAGGGAUCACACAGGCAAAAAUUUAGGAACAUUACAAGUAUCUCAAUUGAAAGGAUUACUUUUAUAUUAGAUAAUUUUAUUUAUAUUCAGAAAGAUGCUUGUGUUUACUUAUUUGGGGACUUUCUGUACCAGGCAAGCCCUUUUACAUGUGUGAGGUGAGACUGCAGGUGAAGCCACCUGGCAGAUCUUAUCACAUAUUCUAUACUCCUAGUAGCAUGGAUAAAAGGCCUUGAAAGAAAAUUUCAAACCUAUCUAAAUUAGGACUGGAUGCAUGAAUCUGAAUGUAAUUGAUUUGGCAAUAUAUGCCACCAAACCUCAAGAAUGAAACACAUACUUGUUUGAGUGUAAAAAUUGAUGACAUUGAGCUGGAAAACUAUUUAACACACAAAAAACGCUAAACAAGAUUUCUCAAGCUCUAGGAAGUGAUUCAAUGUAAACAUACACUGGUUUGGGGAAAAGAGGGUAAAACAGCAUCUGUGUUUUGUAGUCUGUAACAACUAUACCCAAGCAUCAGUUCUUGCUUCUGAGAACUUUUUCACUGUUUUCCCUACAUCAAAUAAGUUUGAACCCGAUUUACAUGAGAUUCUGCACCCAAAUCUAAAUAAUUAGAAAUAAACUUUAUCACUUUAGAGAUUGAUGGUAAAACAAGGGAAAUACCUAAUGUCUCAAAGAAAAUAAGAGACUGAUAAGAACCAAACAACCUAUUUCUUAAUAACAUUAUCUGGAAAUGCUGAUGAUAUCUACAGAAUGGGUAUUUGUAAUGAUUCAAAUGAGAUGUAACAGCAGACUGGAUGAAAAUUUCAUUUUAUUAGAGAGCAGCAUUUUAAUUAUUUUUUAAUUACCACAUCUGAGUUAGAACAAAAGGCUUGAUGGUGUUUGGAACCAUAAAUUAAGGUCAAGUAGAUGCAUUUAAAAACAUUCUAGUUUAAUUUGUCAGCAUAAGAUCCAUGUCGAGGGGAACCUAAGAAUUUGGGGAAAUGGUGCAAUGCUUUAGCUGGAUUAUGGUGUAGAAUGAGGUCUGUUCAGUGACAGUCAACAUACUGCUAUUAAGUAUGAACUAACCCUGUGGCCCACAAUGUGCGCAUGGUGUCUGCGUUUAAGAAUUCUAAUGAGAAUAUCACCAGAUACUUAGAUCAUCAUUGAAUUUGCUACUUUAUUUGUUUCUUUAUAGGAAGUUCACAGUUGUUUAUGUCACUGCUGCAUUCAUGGAAGAUUUGGG